RNAcentral lists this ribosomal RNA (253 nucleotides) under uncultured bacterium. RNAcentral describes it as "partial 16S ribosomal RNA". It matches the Rfam family "Bacterial small subunit ribosomal RNA", at positions 524 to 776 of the family's 1533-position model. The record is from RNAcentral.
UACAGAGGUCUCAAGCGUUGUUCGGAUUCAUUGGGCGUAAAGGGUGCGUAGGUGGCGCCGUAAGUCGGGUGUGAAAUUUCGGAGCUUAACUCCGAAACUGCAUUCGAUACUGCGGUGCUUGAGGACUGGAGAGGAGACUGGAAUUCAUGGUGUAGCAGUGAAAUGCGUAGAGAUCGUAAGGAAGACCAGUGGCGAAGGCGGGUCUCUGGACAGUUCCUGACACUGAGGCACGAAGGCCAGGGGAGCAAACGGG